RNAcentral lists this ribosomal RNA (497 nucleotides) under uncultured bacterium. Its description in RNAcentral is "partial 16S ribosomal RNA". It matches the Rfam family "Bacterial small subunit ribosomal RNA", at positions 28 to 507 of the family's 1533-position model. The record is from RNAcentral.
GAUGAACGCUGGCGGCGUGCCUAAUACAUGCAAGUCGAGCGAACAGACGAGGAGCUUGCUCCUCUGACGUUAGCGGCGGACGGGUGAGUAACACGUGGAUAACCUACCUAUAAGACUGGGAUAACUUCGGGAAACCGGAGCUAAUACCGGAUAAUAUAUUGAACCGCAUGGUUCAAUAGUGAAAGACGGUUUUGCUGUCACUUAUAGAUGGAUCCGCGCCGCAUUAGCUAGUUGGUAAGGUAACGGCUUACCAAGGCAACGAUGCGUAGCCGACCUGAGAGGGUGAUCGGCCACACUGGAACUGAGACACGGUCCAGACUCCUACGGGAGGCAGCAGUAGGGAAUCUUCCGCAAUGGGCGAAAGCUUGACGGAGCAACGCCGCGUGAGUGAUGAAGGUCUUCGGAUCGUAAAACUCUGUUAUUAGGGAAGAACAAAUGUGUAAGUAACUAUGCACGUCUUGACGGUACCUAAUCAGAAAGCCACCGCUAACUACGUG